Long non-coding RNA from Hippocampus comes (tiger tail seahorse), 741 nucleotides. RefSeq lists it as uncharacterized. The transcript has 2 exons. The record is from RefSeq and is a predicted model, not a curated record. NCBI's taxonomy places the organism in Eukaryota, Metazoa, Chordata, Actinopteri, Syngnathiformes, Syngnathidae.
AACAACAGUGAUAUUUUUUUCACAGCGUUGGCAGUUGCUUUGAAGUGCAUGUUGACAUUUGUAUCCUCCAAAAAACAUGGAUGUAUUCAACGCUUAAUAGUGUUAAAAAUUAGACAAGUGGCUGGUGUGAUUGACUCGCAUUAUUUACAGAGGGGAUGCAUCUGACGCCAACUUCAUCGCCCCAUCGUUUUGCUGACAUUGACGUUGCGCAUCCCGAAAUGCAGCGCACCAAAACUGACUCCACGCAAAAGACCGACUGCACCCUUUACUGGACACCAGUCAGUCAUAGGGCACAUAUAUAGAGACGAAAAAAAAUCCAGAUUCACAUGCACACCAUCUUUGCGUGGGAACUGAAAUCACACUGCCUGCACUGCAUUCAGGCAAUUGUACCACCACACCAGCAGUGAAAUGUAGUUCAAACUUUUAAAUAUAAAUGUGGUGCAUGUUUGCAGCAGAUGUGUACAACAAAAUAAUUAUUUGUAGGAGUCAAGAGAUUCUUGGGUCGUCUGUGGCAUAGUAGGUCAACAAGAGGUUAACGUCUCGAGUAGGAUAUGAUAAGGAGGCUAAGCGCUACCGAUGGUAGCCUACAGUCGUUUUGUUCUGCACAUUCUGCAUGUGUACUUUUUCAUCUGCAAGCACUUUAAAUAAAUGUCUCAGUGGAGCAAGACUGUGCAUGUAAACGUUCUGACUCUGAUAUGUUUGUAGGAUGCACACACACACACACACACACACACACACACA